GACGAACCGUGCGAACGUUAUUCGGAAUCACUGGGCUUAAAGGGCGCGUAGGCGGGCCGCAUAGUCAGGGGUGAAAGCCUCCAGCUCAACUGGAGAAGUGCCUUUGAUACUGGCGGCCUCGAGGGGUGCAGGGGCGUGCGGAACUUAGGGUGGAGCGGUGAAAUGCGUAGAUAUCCUAAGGAACACCGGUGGCGAAGGCGGCACGCUGGACACCUUCUGACGCUGAGGCGCGAAAGCCAGGGGAGCAAACGGGAUUAGAUACCCCGGUAGUCCUGGCCCUAAACGUUGGGCACUGGGUAGCGGCCUUGCAUGGGGUCGCUGCCGAAGCAAAAGUGUUAAGUGCCCCGCCUGGGGAGUAUGGUCGCAAGGCUGAA
RNAcentral lists this ribosomal RNA (374 nucleotides) under uncultured bacterium. Its description in RNAcentral is "bacterial SSU rRNA". It matches the Rfam family "Bacterial small subunit ribosomal RNA", at positions 524 to 898 of the family's 1533-position model. The record is from RNAcentral.